RNAcentral lists this ribosomal RNA (304 nucleotides) under uncultured bacterium. RNAcentral's name for it is "partial 16S ribosomal RNA". It matches the Rfam family "Bacterial small subunit ribosomal RNA", at positions 509 to 807 of the family's 1533-position model. The record is from RNAcentral.
CAGCAGUCGCCGCGGGAAAACGUAGGUGGCAAGCGUUAUCCGGAAUUAUUGGGCGUAAAGCGCGCGUAGGCGGUUUUUUAAGUCUGAUGUGAAAGCCCACGGCUCAACCGUGGAGGGUCAUUGGAAACUGGAAAACUUGAGUGCAGAAGAGGAAAGUGGAAUUCCAUGUGUAGCGGUGAAAUGCGCAGAGAUAUGGAGGAACACCAGUGGCGAAGGCGACUUUCUGGUCUGUAACUGACGCUGAUGUGCGAAAGCGUGGGGAUCAAACAGGAUUAGAUACCCCAGUAGUCCCUGUCUCUUAUAC